GAUGAACGCUAGCGGCAGGCCUAACACAUGCAAGUCGAGGGAGGAGCCUUCGGGCUUCGACCGGCGUACGGGUGCGUAACGCGUAUACAACCUGCCUUUCACAUAGGGAUAGCCCGAAGAAAUUUGGAUUAAUACCUAAUGGUAUAUAGAUGUGGCAUCACCUUUAUAUUAAAGCUGAGGCGGUGAAAGAUGAGUAUGCGUUCUAUUAGCUAGUUGGAGAGGUAACGGCUCCCCAAGGCGACGAUAGAUAGGGGUUCUGAGAGGGAUAUCCCCCACACUGGUACUGAGAUACGGACCAGACUCCUACGGGAGGCAGCAGUGAGGAAUAUUGGACAAUGGUCGGAAGACUGAUCCAGCCAUGCCGCGUGCAGGAAGACGGCCUUAUGGGUUGUAAACUGCUUUUGCAGGGGAAGAAUAAGGACUACGCGUAGUUUGAUGACGGUACUCUGCGAAUAAGCAUCGGCUAACUCCGUG
RNAcentral lists this ribosomal RNA (474 nucleotides) under uncultured bacterium. Its description in RNAcentral is "partial 16S ribosomal RNA". It matches the Rfam family "Bacterial small subunit ribosomal RNA", at positions 28 to 507 of the family's 1533-position model. The record is from RNAcentral.